Molecule: unclassified non-coding RNA, 373 nt
Filed under: Hevea brasiliensis (rubber tree)
Lineage: Eukaryota; Viridiplantae; Streptophyta; Magnoliopsida; Malpighiales; Euphorbiaceae
Source: RNAcentral
AUAAUUCGGUAAAUUUCUUGUUUCUGAAACUGUGAAUUAUUAUGAAAAUGAAAAUCGAUCACCACCACAAUUUUGCAAUUUCACAAUUUCACAUACACCAAUCACCAUGGUUUCCCUUGGAAUCGCAAACCUAAAUGGAAGGACUUGCAGUCGCAUAGAGCCAUGGACGCACGAAGGGCAGAACCUAGACCAUAAUAAAAAUCAAAAUCUCAACUUUCAAAACCCACUUGCAACAAACUGAAGAAGAAGUAGAAAACAAGAGCAGUGGAGCACUGAUAUGUCGCAAAAGAAGAAGCAGAAAGCCAGGAACACCGAUGUGGCGUCACCCAAAAUGGAUGCUAAAAUGGCAUACAUUAUCUCUAAGGAAGAAGAC